CCCAGGAAUAAAGUGUGAGGAUAAAAAGUUUUGGAUCCGCAACUGCAUUGUUAAGCACUAAGAAAGUCAUGUUGCUAGUACAUGGACAAAUGUUAUUAAAUCAUUUUAAUAAUUUCUACAGAAAAUUGUCUUUAGCUUGAUCUCGGUCUUGAUACACUGAACUAUAAUAUUCUAAGAAGUAGAUGAUGACUCGGUUGCUUUUAAAUUAUACAGAUGCUAUGAUACUAAUUGUCAUUAGACAAUGUUUUUCUUUUGUCAGUUUUUUUAUCCACUUGAGCAUGCUGUUAUAUCCACAUUGGAAUGUGAAACAGCUAAUACUUAAAUAACGGAAUUAAAAGUUUUCAAAUGAUUUUUGAC
RNAcentral lists this long non-coding RNA (357 nucleotides) under Mytilus galloprovincialis (Mediterranean mussel). Lineage: Eukaryota; Metazoa; Mollusca; Bivalvia; Mytilida; Mytilidae. The record is from RNAcentral.